RNAcentral lists this ribosomal RNA (165 nucleotides) under Hetaeria oblongifolia. RNAcentral's name for it is "5.8S ribosomal RNA". It matches the Rfam family "5.8S ribosomal RNA". Rfam says of the family: 5.8S ribosomal RNA (5.8S rRNA) is a component of the large subunit of the eukaryotic ribosome. It is transcribed by RNA polymerase I as part of the 45S precursor that also contains 18S and 28S rRNA. Lineage: Eukaryota; Viridiplantae; Streptophyta; Magnoliopsida; Asparagales; Orchidaceae. RNAcentral also lists the same sequence under 1 other name. The record is from RNAcentral.
UAUGACUCUCGGCAAUGGAUAUCUUGGCUCUUGCAUCGAUGAAGAGCGCAGCGAAAUGCGAUACGUGGUGUGAAUUGCAGAAUCCCGUGAACCAUCAAAUCUUUGAACGCAAGUUGCGCCCGAGGCCAAUUGGCUAAGGGCACGUCCGCCUGGGCGUCAAGCAUU